This is a long non-coding RNA of Haemorhous mexicanus (house finch), 1506 nucleotides long. RefSeq lists it as uncharacterized. The record is from RefSeq and is a predicted model, not a curated record. The transcript is spliced from 5 exons. Lineage: Eukaryota; Metazoa; Chordata; Aves; Passeriformes; Fringillidae.
AGAAAAGCUCGUGUAGGAAGGAAUUGAUCCAGCCACAGAGCCACGGACACCUUCUGUGGGGUAUUUGCUCCUGUGAGCCCUCCUGCAGUCCAGUUUUGGGUUGCAGAUCAGAACUAGAGGUUUCCAGCUCCUGAAACUGCUGAUUGCCUUUUCCAGCUUGUGGGAGUCUCUGAAGUGCUGAAAAGAGCUGCUUGGAGGAUAUUCAUAAAAUCAGAACAUCCUGAGGUGGAGGGGACCCUCAGGGAUCAUCGAGUCCAGCUCCUGGUCCUGCUCAGGACACCCCAACAAUCCCACCCUGUGCCUGGGAUUGUUUUCCAAGCUCUUCUUGGACUCUGGCAGGUUUGUGCCAUGACCAAUUCCUUGGGGAACCUGCUCCAGUGCCCGACCACCCACUGGGGGAAGAAUAUUCUGCCAACAAAUGACCUUGACUGACCAAGAAGAGGCACUUUUGGCAUUUGAAAGAAAAGCACGAGGCAGUAAUUCCCGUGUCAGUGUUUUCACAACAGGACAAAGAAAUAAAGUUCCUUGGUGUCACAAGCUAACAGAUGUGCAGGAAUGUCCUGGGCUCCGCAGCGCUUUUCUCUGCAGCAGAAUCUGACUGACAGCACCACCACCAGGGAACAGCUGGGCCCAGGCACAUCACAUUCUGCUGGUCGGGAGAGAGGCUGAUUAGGCUAUGGAGUACCUAAUUGGACACCCCAAGCUUGGACUGUAGCAAUGGGGACUCAGAUGGUUGAGUGUCCUUUCAAUAAGAAGUGCUAAAAGAAGCUUCCAACCAGAUCUUACAAGGCCUUGUAUCAAGUACCAGUGAUACUGGGAAUAUUCUCAAGUAAAAUAAAGUCAGCUGGCAUGAAAAUCUAAUUUAUCUAAUUUCUCUUUUAUAAAACAUGCAGAUAUGGUUCUUGUGGACGUGGUUUAGUGGUGGGUUAAUGGCUGGACUUGAUGAUCUUAGAGUUAUUUUCCUUAAUGAUUUUAUGAUUUUCAGAUUUUUUUCCUUCACCUUGUAUAUUCUGAAUUGAUUUUAGUCACCUCUUGCAAGUAGUAUUUGCUGUUCUCCAGGGAAACCAGGGAUUCAGCAUACAAGUUUGGGAUACAGAAAUAAUGAAAAUUUGGGAAGUUCACAAUCUGUGAGUUAAAUAAUGUUGAAACUAUUGCGAAGCCUAACAAAUCAAAAAGUUCCUGAGGACUUGGUGAGUUGUUUUUUACAUCUGCACAGGUGUUGUCUGCAGGAUCCUUGUCAGAUUUGUUCUUCCCAAGGUCUGGAGUGAUGGAUGAGCACAUCCAGUGUCCAGCAGCAAAGUCUCCAGUGAAGUUUUGGGGCAAAGGAGCAGUGGUGCAUCCCCAAAACCUCUUACAGGAAGUUCACAUGAAGUUUCUGAACCUCCACUUUGCCCCCUGGGGAAAAGCAGCCCGGAAAUAAGAACUUGUGGGAAGAAGUUGAAGGAGUGGAAUGGAAAUUCCCACUUUCAUUCAUGCAUGACUGAGGAUGUGUUGUGGAGAAGGAGA